GAGUGUAUACUAUUUGGAUCUGGCUUCAGGAAUGUGCCAUAUGAUUGGAUUAACAAGCAGAAGUCUAAUCAGAACUGGCUGAGGAAAGAAGGCGAGAAGUUUCUCUUCCCUGGUGGGGGUACUAUGUUCCCCAGAGGUGUUGGUGCCUAUGUUGAUUUGAUGCAAGAUUUGAUUCCAGAAAUGCUAGAUGGGACUGUUCGAACUGCCAUUGACACUGGGUGUGGGGUGAGCCCUGAUUCAUACUAUUGUUUCUUCACGGAGUUGAUCAUAUGAACCAAUUCGAUAACCUAUUAAUCUAUUUGAUGUUUAUUCUGGAAGCUUUGAUUUAUGACCAUCACCUUUGUAUAUGUUCCCAAAAAUUGUGUCACUUAGUCUGUGUAAUUGCUUUAUUUCUAGGUUGCGAGCUGGGGAGGUGAUUUAUUAGAUCGUGGCAUACUAACAAUGUCUUUGGCUCCAAGAGAUAAUCAUGAGGCUCAAGUCCAAUUUGCAUUGGAACGCGGAAUUCCGGCGAUCCUUGGCAUCAUUUCCACUCAGCGGCUUCCUUUCCCCUCCAACUCAUUUGAUAUGGCUCAUUGCUCAAGAUGCCUUAUCCCAUGGACUGAAUUUGGUAAUUCCUCUCUUCCAUAUAAUGAUAAGUCUCAGAUGUAAAUUUGGACAAAAUUACAUUAUCAAUAAGUUGUCGCUGAGGUUCAUUGGUUGAUCAUAUACUCAAAAUUUCUUUUUAAUUUUCACUUAAUUUUUAGAGGUUUUAAGUAGUCAAGCAUCCAUUACAAUUACAGAGGUUUACCCUCUAGGUGGAACAGGAAUUCAGGUCAUCAAGCUUUUAUCUUUACAAAAGAAACAACUUAGAGUAAUUUGGCAGCUUUCAUCAAGUUUUCAAGGAAAUUAUGAAUAGCUUAAAAAUUAAGGUAGCACCAACAUAAUGUGUUUUCAGAACAUUUAUCAUUUGAACAGGUUUGUCUUUGUUUCUGAUGUUGAAUUAUGAACGAAAGGAUCAUGUUUGUGUUCUAUUUUUUUAUUUUUUUAUUUUUUUAUUUUUCCAUUUGCUGCUUUUCACCCAUGGAAAUGUCCUGUUUUCAGGUGGAAUAUACCUCCUAGAAGUACACCGCAUACUCCGCCCUGGAGGGUUCUGGGUCCUGUCUGGCCCACCUGUAAACUAUGAAAACCGUUGGCGAGGAUGGAACACAACUGUGGAGGAUCAGAAAAGUGACUAUGAAAAGUUGACUGAGUUGCUCACUUCAAUGUGCUUCAAAUUAUAUAACAAAAAGGAUGACAUCGCUGUGUGGCAAAAGUCCUCCGACAAUAACUGCUACCAACAACUUUCUAGCCCUGAUGUGUAUCCACCCAAGUGUGAUGAUGGCACUGAACCAGAUGCAGCAUGGUACACUCCCCUCCGCCCUUGUGUUGUUGUUCCUGAACCGAAGUACAAGAAACUAGGGCUGAAGUCCGUCCCCAAGUGGCCAGAACGGUUGAAUGUUGCACCAGAUCGCAUUUCAGCUAUCCAUGGUGGGAGUGCGAGUACCUUCAAGCAUGAUGACUCUAAGUGGAAGGAACGACUGAAGCACUACAAGAAGUUACUCCCUGCAAUUGGGACCGAUAAGAUCAGAAAUGUAAUGGACAUGAACACAGCUUAUG
Molecule: long non-coding RNA, 1635 nt
Filed under: Vitis vinifera (wine grape)
Lineage: Eukaryota; Viridiplantae; Streptophyta; Magnoliopsida; Vitales; Vitaceae
Description: long non-coding RNA (VVIN_LNC000557)
Source: RNAcentral